GACGAACGCUGGCGGCGUGCUUAACACAUGCAAGUCGAACGGUAAGGCCCUUCGGGGUACACGAGUGGCGAACGGGUGAGUAACACGUGGGUGAUCUGCCCUGCACUUCGGGAUAAGCCUGGGAAACUGGGUCUAAUACCGGAUAGGACCACUGCCUGCAUGGGUGGUGGUGGAAAGCUUUUGCGGUGUGGGAUGGGGCCGCGGCUUAUCAGCUUGCUGGUGGAGUGAUGGCCUACCAAGGCGCAGACGGGUAGCCGGCCUGGGAGGGGGACCGGCCACACUGGAGUUGGAUACGGCUCAGACUCCUACGGGAGGCAGCAGUGGGGAAUGUUGCACAAUGGGCGCAAGCCUGAUGCAGCGACGCCGCGUGAGGGAUGACGGCCUUCGGGUUGUAAGCCUCUUUCAGCUAUGACGAAGCGCAAGGGACGGUAGUAGCAGAAGAAGGACCGGCCAACUACGUGCCAGCAGCCGCCGUAA
This 477-nucleotide ribosomal RNA is filed under the name uncultured bacterium. RNAcentral's name for it is "partial 16S ribosomal RNA". It matches the Rfam family "Bacterial small subunit ribosomal RNA", at positions 28 to 523 of the family's 1533-position model. The record is from RNAcentral.